Molecule: ribosomal RNA, 465 nt
Filed under: uncultured bacterium
Lineage: Bacteria
Description: bacterial SSU rRNA
Rfam family: Bacterial small subunit ribosomal RNA
Source: RNAcentral
ACGCAAUAGAUACCCAGGUAGUCCUAGCCGUAAACGAUGAACACUAGGCGUUGUCGGUAUCGACCCCGGCAGUGCCGUAGCUAACGCAUUAAGUGUUCCGCCUGGGGAGUACGGCCGCAAGGCUAAAAACUCAAAGGAAUUGACGGGGGCCCGCACAAGCAGCGGAGCGUGUGGUUUAAUUCGUCGCAACGCGAAGAACCUUACCAGGGCUUGACAUGUGGCGGAAAACGGCGGAAACGUCGUCCUCCCGCAAGGGACCGCCAUGCAGGUGUUGCAUGGCUGUCGUCAGCUCGUGUCGUGAGAUGUUGGGUUAAGUCCCGCAACGAGCGCAACCCCCGUGGCAUGUUGUAUCACUCAUGCCAGACUGCCGAGAGAAACUCGGAGGAAGUGGGGAUGACGUCAAGUCAGCAUGGCCCUUACGGCCCUGGGCUACACACACGCUACAAUGGCCGGUACAACGGGUUG